AGAGGUCCCAAGCGUUGUUCGGAUUCACUGGGCGUAAAGGGUGCGUAGGUGGUGGGGUAAGUCGGAUGUGAAAGCUCGGAGCUCAACUCCGAAAUGGCAUUGGAAACUACCCUGCUAGAGGAUUGGAGGGGGGACUGGAAUACUUGGUGUAGCAGUGAAAUGCGUAGAUAUCAAGUGGAACACCAGUGGCGAAGGCGAGUCCCUGGACAAUACCUGACACUGAGGCACGAAAGCUAGGGGAGCAAACAGGAUUAGAUACCCUGGUAGUCCUAGCCGUAAACGGUGCACGUUUGCUGUAAAAGGAAUCGACCCCUUUUGUGGCGUAGCUAACGCGUUAAACGUGCCGCCUGGGAAGUACGGUCGCAAGAUUA
This 371-nucleotide ribosomal RNA is filed under the name uncultured bacterium. RNAcentral's name for it is "bacterial SSU rRNA". It matches the Rfam family "Bacterial small subunit ribosomal RNA", at positions 527 to 896 of the family's 1533-position model. The record is from RNAcentral.